GGGGAACUAGCUCAGCUGGGAGAGCGCGUGACUGGCAGUCACGAGGUCAGGGGUUCGAGCCCCCUAUUCUCCACCA
RNAcentral lists this transfer RNA (76 nucleotides) under Bacillota bacterium. Its description in RNAcentral is "tRNA-Ala". It matches the Rfam family "tRNA". From Rfam's summary of the family: Transfer RNA (tRNA) molecules are approximately 80 nucleotides in length. The record is from RNAcentral. Lineage: Bacteria; Bacillati; Bacillota.